This 497-nucleotide ribosomal RNA is filed under the name uncultured bacterium. Its description in RNAcentral is "partial 16S ribosomal RNA". It matches the Rfam family "Bacterial small subunit ribosomal RNA", at positions 28 to 507 of the family's 1533-position model. The record is from RNAcentral.
GAUGAACGCUGGCGGCGUGCCUAAUACAUGCAAGUCGAGCGAACAGACGAGGAGCUUGCUCCUCUGACGUUAGCGGCGGACGGGUGAUUAACACGUGGAUAACCUACCUAUAAGACUGAGAUAACUUCGGGAAACCUGAUCUAAUACCGGAUAAUAUAUUGAACGGCAGGGUUCAAUAGUGAAAGACGGUUUUGCUGUCACUUAUAGAUGUAUCCGCGCCGCAUUAGCUAGUUGGUAAGGUAACGGCUUACCAAGGCAACGAUGCGUAGCCGACCUGAGAGGGUGAUCGGCCACACCGGAACUGAGACACGGUCCAGACUCCUACGGGAGGCAGCAGUAGGGAAUAUUCCGCAAUGGGCGAAAGCUUGAUGGAGCCAUGCCGCGUGAGUGAUGAAGGUCUUCGGAUUGUAAAACUCUGUUAUUAGGGAAGAACAAAUGUGUAAGUAACUAUGCACGUCUUGACGGUACCUAAUCAGAAAGCAACGGCUAACUACGUG